GCCAGCGUGGCUUAGUGGUUUGAGUGUGUCAGACUAUGAGUCUGGAGACCAGGGUUCAAUUCCCAGUUUGGCC
This is a non-coding RNA of Phrynosoma platyrhinos (Desert horned lizard), 73 nucleotides long. NCBI's taxonomy places the organism in Eukaryota, Metazoa, Chordata, Lepidosauria, Squamata, Phrynosomatidae. The record is from the annotation of a GenBank genome assembly.